RNAcentral lists this ribosomal RNA (497 nucleotides) under uncultured bacterium. RNAcentral's name for it is "partial 16S ribosomal RNA". It matches the Rfam family "Bacterial small subunit ribosomal RNA", at positions 28 to 507 of the family's 1533-position model. The record is from RNAcentral.
GAUGAACGCUGGCGGCGUGCCUAAUACAUGCAAGUCGAGCGAACAGACGGGGAGCUUGCUCCUCUGACGUUAGCGGCGGACGGGUGAGUAACACGUGGAUAACCUACCUAUAAGACUGGGAUAACUUCGGGAAACCGGAGCUAAUACCGGAUAAUAUAUUGAACCGCAUGGUUCAAUAGUGAAAGACGGUUUUGCUGUCACUUAUAGAUGGAUCCGCGCCGCAUUAGCUAGUUGGUAAGGUAACGGCUUACCAAGGCAACGAUGCGUAGCCGACCUGAGAGGGUGAUCGGCCACACUGGAACUGAGACACGGUCCAGACUCCUACGGGAGGCAGCAGUAGGGAAUCUUCCGCAAUGGGCGAAAGCCUGACGGAGCAACGCCGCGUGAGUGAUGAAGGUCUUUGGAUCGUAAAACUCUGUUAUUAGGGAAGAACAAAUGUGUAAGUAACUAUGCACGUCUUGACGGUACCUAAUCAGAAAGCCACGGCUAACUACGUG